CAGAAGAAGGCCCGGCUAACUACGUGCCAGCAGCCGCGGUAAUACGUAGGGCGCAAGCGUUGUCCGGAAUUAUUGGGCGUAAAGAGCUCGUAGGCGGCUUGUCGCGUCUGCUGUGAAAGCCCGGGGCUUAACCCCGGGUGUGCAGUGGGUACGGGCAGGCUAGAGUGCAGUAGGGGAGACUGGAAUUCCUGGUGUAGCGGUGAAAUGCGCAGAUAUCAGGAGGAACACCGAUGGCGAAGGCAGGUCUCUGGGCUGUUACUGACGCUGAGGAGCGAAAGCAUGGGGAGCGAACAGGAUUAGAUACCCUGGUAGUCCAUGCCGUAAACGUUGGGCACUAGGUGUGGGGGACAUUCCACGUUUUCCGCGCCGUAGCUAACGCAUUAAGUGCCCCGCCUGGGGAGUACGGCCGCAAGGCUAAAACUCAAAGGAAUUGACGGGGGCCCGCACAAGCGGCGGAGCAUGCGGAUUAAUUCGAUGCAACGCGAAGAACCUUACCAAGGCUUGACAUACACCGGAUCGCAGCAGAGAUGUUGUUUCCCCUUUGGGGCUGGUGUACAGGUGGUGCAUGGUUGUCGUCAGCUCGUGUCGUGAGAUGUUGGGUUAAGUCCCGCAACGAGCGCAACCCUCGUUCUAUGUUGCCAGCACGUGAUGGUGGGGACUCAUAGGAGACUGCCGGGGUCAACUCGGAGGAAGGUGGGGAUGACGUCAAAUCAUCAUGCCCCUUAUGUCUUGGGCUUCACGCAUGCUACAAUGGCCGGUACAAUGGGUUGCGAUACUGUGAGGUGGAGCUAAUCCCAAAAAGCCGGUCUCAGUUCGGAUUGGGGUCUGCAACUCGACCCCAUGAAGUCGGAGUCGCUAGUAAUCGCAGAUCAGCAACGCUGCGGUGAAUACGUUCCCGGGCCUUGUACAC
This 910-nucleotide ribosomal RNA is filed under the name Rothia halotolerans. RNAcentral's name for it is "bacterial SSU rRNA". It matches the Rfam family "Bacterial small subunit ribosomal RNA", at positions 482 to 1388 of the family's 1533-position model. The record is from RNAcentral. Lineage: Bacteria; Bacillati; Actinomycetota; Actinomycetes; Micrococcales; Micrococcaceae.